Molecule: ribosomal RNA, 446 nt
Filed under: uncultured bacterium
Lineage: Bacteria
Description: partial 16S ribosomal RNA
Rfam family: Bacterial small subunit ribosomal RNA
Source: RNAcentral
GGCCAGACUCCUACGGGAGGCAGCAGUGGGGAAUUUUGCGCAAUGGGGGAAACCCUGACGCAGCAACGCCGCGUGCGGGACGAAGGCCCUCGGGUCGUAAACCGCUUUCAGCAGGGAAGACCACGACGGUACCUGCAGAAGAAGCUCCGGCUAACUACGUGCCAGCAGCCGCGGUAAUACGUAGGGGGCAAGCGUUAUCCGGAUUUACUGGGUGUAAAGGGAGCGUAGACGGAAAGGCAAGUCAGAAGUGAAAGCCCAAGGCUCAACCAUGGGACUGCUUUUGAAACUGUCAAACUGGAGUGUGUGAGAGGAUAGUGGAAUUCCAGGUGUAGGAGUGAAAUCCGUAGAUAUCUGGAGGAACAUCAGUGGCGAAGGCGACUAUCUGGCACAUAACUGACGCUGAGGAGCGAAAGCGUGGGUAGCAAACAGGAUUAGAUCCCCUCGUA